CCCGCCGGAGGACCAACCAAAACUCUUAUUGUAUACCCCCUCGCGGGUUUUUUACUAUCUGAGCCAUCUCGGCGCCCCUCGUGGGCGUUUCGAAAAUGAAUCAAAACUUUCAACAACGGAUCUCUUGGUUCUGGCAUCGAUGAAGAACGCAGCGAAAUGCGAUAAGUAAUGUGAAUUGCAGAAUUCAGUGAAUCAUCGAAUCUUUGAACGCACAUUGCGCCCGCCAGUAUUCUGGCGGGCAUGCCUGUCCGAGCGUCAUUUCAACCCUCGAACCCCUCCGGGGGGUCGGCGUUGGGGAUCGGCCCUUUACGGGGCCGGCCCCGAAAUACAGUGGCGGUCUCGCCGCAGCCUCUCCUGCGCAGUAGUUUGCACACUCGCAUCGGGAGCGCGGCGCGUCCACAGCCGUUAAACACCCCAAACUUCUGAAAUGUUGACCUCGGAUCAGGUAGGAAUACCCGCUGAACUUAAGCAUAUCAAUAAGCGGAGGAA
This 489-nucleotide ribosomal RNA is filed under the name Trichoderma virens. RNAcentral describes it as "eukaryotic LSU rRNA". The stretch from base 105 to 258 matches the Rfam family "5.8S ribosomal RNA". The record is from RNAcentral. Lineage: Eukaryota; Fungi; Ascomycota; Sordariomycetes; Hypocreales; Hypocreaceae.